This 148-nucleotide small RNA is filed under the name Sporolactobacillus laevolacticus DSM 442. RNAcentral describes it as "Listeria sRNA rli38". It matches the Rfam family "Listeria sRNA rli38". The record is from Rfam by way of RNAcentral. Lineage: Bacteria; Bacillati; Bacillota; Bacilli; Caryophanales; Sporolactobacillaceae.
AAAGAGUGGUAAAAGGCUAACACAAAUCGAAUUGAGCAAGCCUAUUUGAUAGUGUUUAUUGUGCCUAACAAACGGUAAAACUGCUUAAAAUUAAAUAGUUCCCUGCCAACACCCCUGCCAGAAUUGAUGAUCUGGCAGGGGUGUUUUU